UACGGAGGGUGCAAGCGUUAUCCGGAUUCACUGGGUUUAAAGGGUGCGUAGGAGGGCAGGUAAGUCAGUGGUGAAAUCUCCAAGCUUAACUUGGAAACUGCCGUUGAUACUAUUUGUCUUGAAUAUCCUGGAGGUAGGCGGAAUAUGUCAUGUAGCGGUGAAAUGCUUAGAUAUGACAUAGAACACCAAUUGCGAAGGCAGCUUACUACACAGUUAUUGACACUGAGGCACGAAAGCGUGGGGAUCAAACAGG
This 253-nucleotide ribosomal RNA is filed under the name uncultured bacterium. Its description in RNAcentral is "partial 16S ribosomal RNA". It matches the Rfam family "Bacterial small subunit ribosomal RNA", at positions 524 to 776 of the family's 1533-position model. The record is from RNAcentral.